Heterocephalus glaber (naked mole-rat) is the source of this 1316-nucleotide non-coding RNA. NCBI's taxonomy places the organism in Eukaryota, Metazoa, Chordata, Mammalia, Rodentia, Bathyergidae. The record is from RefSeq and is a predicted model, not a curated record.
AGAGCACUUACCUGGGCAAACUUGUGAAUCUGUUCUACCACUGCAGCAAACAGAGCAUUGACGCUUUCAUCAAUCAGACUCUGCAUGUAAUGCACUGCCUCUUCAUCCGACAAGUCCAGCCGAAAUUUAUCCUGAACCUACAAGGGAAGAACAGUAUGACAAAGGCGAAGCCCCAGAUGACACCAUCGAGAUGAACCUGGGACAGGGAUAGAUGACGCGGUGGAACUCGUAAUUACCAUUCACUGCACUUUGAAGCAGAGCAAUACUCUAAACCUUCCCUGGAUGACAAAUGAGAACAGAAGACAACGAUGUUUUAUUUUGAGGAAUGGAAUGCAUGUUAUUUGCUUGAUGUAUCUAAAAAAUGCCCCAUCAGUUGUUGAAAGAUUGGACACUUACCUAAGAAAAUCCAAAGUUUACAAUUUUUAAUAUGGUAUAAAAUUUUUGUUCAAGGCACAAUAAAUGCAAAACAAUGAAAGAUGCUUCAAAAUAUGAGGUAUUUUUAAGUAAAAGCACUGAAAUGUGCUUCCUAGAGUGAACCAGAAUCAGAAUUCACCUUAGCUAAGUUAUAUGACAUCUGUUUAUAAAAAAUAUAUGACAUCUGUUUAUAAAAAAUAUAUAAUCACUACAACGUGAAACUGCUUUGAAACAUGGAUUUGCUGUGUAAACACAAAAAAUUUUAAAUUAAUUAUAAAUGGUCAGAAGUUGAUGAGUGUCUGACACUUAUAUUCAUCUUAACAUGAUCCGUCUUAUUUUCUAUAAUUUAAUUUUGUUCAAACUAAAUUGAGAAUUUGUGAGGUUUUUUCCCUAGUAAGAAAGACUUAAAAUUCUAACUGCAUAACAUACCUGGAUGAAAUAAUUAAAGAGUAGGUACACAACUGGAAAAUUCUACUUGAAGUUAAAGUAAUGGAUUGACACAAAGCGCUUCACGUUUAGAAGCUGUCUGUACAGAUACCAUGUCAAAAGAUAUAAGGCUAAAGAGUUAUCAGCAAGAAGGAAGCUGCCCACGUUUAUAGUGGCACAGUUUGUAACAGCUAAAUCUUGGAAACAGCCCACGUGCCCAUCAACUGAUGAAUGGAUAAAGAUGAUGUGAUUUUUUUGUUUUUAGACAUUACUGUGCUGUGAAGACAGAUGAACUUCAGACAUUUAUAGCUAAAUGGAUGGACCUUGAGCCAUACUCUUAAGUGAAAUAAAUCAGACGCACAUGUUUAAAUACUGCCUUGUUUCUCUGGUGUAAGAAACCGAAAGCGGAAAUCAAGACUAAAAUGCGUAAUAGGUACUGGGAAAUGGGAAAAUGUUCAAAUGGGAAGGGCAACAAA